AUAUAUAUAUGUUAAACUGCAACUUUCAUUCAAAAUAUGAUAACUGCAGGUACAACAUCAUAUGUAAGUUUGAACAAGGUCCAUAAAAGCAGAAUAAUCUAGCAAAGAAAAGGAGCAUGUCCUUUCCAUGUUAAAUCCCAUUGACCUCGACCCUUGUUAAAGUAGCAUUUCUUUCUCUACUAAUGUUGUUCUAAGCACGUAAAAGAAAAAUCAAAAUGCUCCAGCAUGAAGCAAUCAUGCAGCAAAGUGUUGAACAUGUAAGUUGGCAAUAAUACGAUCUCAACUAUGUACACACCCCCAAAGUGAGGACCUAUGCAGACAUAUCUUUGGUCCCAAAUCGGCUAUGCACGGGGUAGAUCUUGGAUACUUAUAUGGAACCAAGAAACUCAAAUAACAACCUCUGGCUAGUAUUUUUGAGUGCGGUCCUAGAUCAUUACGCAUAAUAUCAGAGCGGACCUAGCCCAUGUCCCAUGUGGACUAGAGGACACUGCAAUAUGGGCCUAUUUGGGCUGACCACAGGCUGAUCGUAGUGUUUACAACGAAUUUACGAUACUUAUGAUUGGACUUAUAUGGAUUUGGAUUCUUAGCAUGGCGAGGAUGCCUAGGCUUAAACAAGAGAAGCAUGUGAAAACUUGUGCAGGCGUGUGUCUAGUCCCACAUCAGCUAUACACUAGAUGAGGUCCCAGGUCAUUACACCCAACCCACCCAUC
This 710-nucleotide long non-coding RNA is filed under the name Phoenix dactylifera (date palm). Its description in RNAcentral is "long non-coding RNA (PDAC_LNC017297)". Lineage: Eukaryota; Viridiplantae; Streptophyta; Magnoliopsida; Arecales; Arecaceae. The record is from RNAcentral.